Non-coding RNA from Neolamprologus brichardi, 3515 nucleotides. NCBI's taxonomy places the organism in Eukaryota, Metazoa, Chordata, Actinopteri, Cichliformes, Cichlidae. The record is from RefSeq and is a predicted model, not a curated record.
CACCAGGUGCCGGGCAGAGGGGCAGAUCACCGUCUGACACCACGCUAUGAAGAGGUGGAACGCCAGUAUGCCUCCUUACCGAGACGAGGUCCGUUAGAUGCAGCUGACUACCCCAUGCAGCCAUGGUCAGGUCCCUACCCCGGGCCUCCACACGCCCAGCAGGGAUACCCCCAGGCACCAUCCUACCCCACCUCCCAGUCUGCCCCAUCUUACCCCAACUACCCACCUGGUCAGCCAUACCCACGGCAAGGAGACCCUCGAGGCAUUGACCCUGGCUACUACCCCCACCCUAGCUCUCAGCAGAGAGGGCCCCUGCGGCAGGAUGUGCCCCCAUCUCCCACCCCGCCUCUUCGGGGACUGCGGUACGACACGAUGACACGUGGAACUGGGGGUGGGGGUUACAGGUAGGGCCGAUUUGUGGAUGGAGACCAUUCCAGGCACCAGUGGGAGCUCGGUACAGACCAGCGUGGCUUUACUCGGGAGGGAGGAGGACGGCAACAGCAAACAAACCCAAAGCAGAAGACGGCGUGACUGCAGCUGUGCAGACACAUCGAGUCCUGACAUGACAAUAAGCACAAAGUCACGUCUUCGUAUUCUGAGUUUUCCUGCGUUCAGCUCUCCACUGAAGCAGAGUUGAAACCUCAUAAUGCGAUGAUCCGAAUCCUCGUCAUUAUCAAACCGUGUGUGUGUUGGUAGGGGUGUACGGUAAGGUAAAGGAGGUUAAUUACAGAGUAGAGGAAGCGUAAUGUCUUGUUGUUUGAAGUCAUUUAAAUUGCUUUGAAUCUUCGGAAAGUUUAAAAUGAGCAGGUUUUUACUUUUCACUGUAUUCUGAUUAAGUUGUCUCCUGUAAGAAUCUGUCAGGGCUGCAGAGGUAAUUGGAUCCAUUUAAAUUAAGCUCACAUUCACAGCCGCUGCUGCAGCAGGAUAAAGAACAAUAUCCACAAAUGCAACCUAAAGUAACGCACUAACACUGACUGUAGAUGGAGGUUCAUGCAGAUAUGAAUAACUCUUUAUUAUGUUUGUGUAAUGAAAGCGUAUUUAUUCUCGAGAUCCGACCGUUUAUGUAGGCAAAGAUGGGACUGCAGCGCCUCCGCUUUUCCAAAACAUUCCUCCUUUCCUCUCUUAGUAAUGGCUGCUGGAACACAUUACAGCGCUCCAAUCAGCACUCUGGAACGCUUUAUUCCUCCAGAUAAACAAAAAAACUCGUUUAGAGGCCGGCCGAUGUCUGAAGUGACCAAUCAGGGAUCAUGCCACUAAUACCAGCACAGAUUUCAUCCUUAUGAGUAAUCUGAUCAUAUCCUGUAUUAUCAAAAAGAUUUGAUAAUACAGAGUUAUUGAUACGUGUGAAUCACACUGAAGACCACUAUAUGAAUGAUCUGUCCUCGCUGUUCGGUGCAGGACGAGGCGGAGCCCACGUCUGCUCCGUGGUUUGCUCCACGUUUGUUUGACCCUGUUGCUGCGUUUCGAAGCAGCUUAAGAAGUACGAAAUCUCAUUUUAGCAGAAUUGGAAAUUAUCUAUGGAUGGUCGCUUUGUUUAAAAAGACCUCCACAUGAAUGUAUGAUGAGCUUACGUUUUACAGACACGUCCACCUGUGUGGAGUGAUUUGAUUUUCCGACUUCCUGCAAGAAGCUCCGGAAAAGGCAGGACGACAAUAACAAUCAAGGUAGCCGGGUGUUCCACAGGUGGAGCUGUUUUCAUUCUGCCUUCUUUUAAAGCGUCUCUGAUGUGUUGGAGCUGUUUGAGCUGCUUUUCCACACCGUCGAGUAAACCGGACAGAGAGGAUUUUCUUUUUUGGGCAGCUUUUUGCAGAGCGGGGAUAGAGGUCGCUUUCACUGUGUUACUCUGCACCGCGCGCUCUGCUUUGGAUUUGAAGGACGUUUCAGUGACCCGACGGUGUAGGCAUCACUGCUCGAACAUGAAGUGAGCUUCAGAGUGCUGUCAGCGCCGCACCAUAAUGCAGAUCCAUUUUGCCACUUAGCAAAAGUUAAGUGUGACUAAGAGUUAAAGCCUUGCAUAACAUCUGUGUUUCACACCACAAAGCUCAGCAGAAUUACUUUCAAUGGAGAUUAAAUGUCUAAAAUGACAUCUCGGUAUUGGGUGGACCGCGGUUCUCUCAGUGUGGCCGAGGCUGAAGGUCCGCUAACCUGAAUGUAACAUGUAGAUUUUAUCAGAAAGGUUUUUGUGUAUCAAGAGUUGGAUAAAGGGAGGUUAAGGAAAGGUAGAGAAAGAUGUGAGGAACAGGUAGAAAAGGAAAAGUGGGAAAUAAAGAGAGAAAUCCCAGGAAUGUGUAAUAUUUCAGACUAAAUAUGAAAAGGAAACGGUUGAAGAAAUGGUCCGAGAGGUAAAUGCAGUGCAAUUUGUGCAGCAUUAGUUGUGCUGUAGGAGUGAAUGUAGUGACUGUGUGAAGUUUUCAUAAUUAUUUCUCCUUUUGUGUUGUCACGUUUCACCAGUGUGAAAACCAGACUUGCAAAUCAAGUAAUAAAGCACAUUUCCGGAGACUGAUGAACAAAUCACCUGCCGAGUUUAGAGCAGAAACACUGAAACAACUCGCGUCCCCUCAGAUUACUUUCUCCUCGCUGAUGAUGAUGAUGUUACAGAGUGAGCAGCACCUGAGAAAAUGAUCCUUCUGAGAACAUGUGAAGGAUUUUCAUGCCAAACAUGUCAGGAGUCUCCCCGCUGUGUGUACCUGAAUGCUGGGUCAGCGCCUGGAGAAGCUUUUAAACAGUAUUUGAAAAACGUGACACGUUGCAUGAAGGCGUAUCUGUCUCAUUACACAGUUUUCACGUAUGUAACUCUUCACAAGCAUUUAUUUUUACGUUUCUUUUUUUAAUGCUAGUUGAUGAUGUUGAAUCGGACCAGAGCCACGGGAUGUUUGGCUUUUGUUGCCACGGGUACGCUGCAGAGCUUCGAUCGCUUUUUUCCUCCUCGUGUUGUUAAAACUGCACGAGCAGUUUUAAACUCGGCGCAGCGCGACUGACGCAUCGAGCGCCCUGCAGGGCUCUUUGGUCUUUAGCAAGUUGCACAAGUUGAAGGUACUCGCUAGAAUCUUCUGUACGAAGAGUUUCUGCUACUCCUGCUUCACCUUUUAAAGAGAUGUAGAAGGAACCAACUAAUAACCUCUGUUACCUAGAAGUAUAACAUGCUUUAUCACAACGCUCGAAUAUAUGAAAAAGUCAAAUUUCAUUUUAUAAUGUAACAAUUCUGUCAUUGUUUUCCAACUUUUUUAUAUUUUGUAUAUAACUUUUUGCAUUAAAAUAUUCAUUUUUAAACACAUCUGGUCGACGACGUCAUACUUUACUUCUCUUUAAGACACAAUGCAUGCCGAGCACAUCUGCUGAGGUUAAUUAAAUAUGAGUCAGGAGAAAUUAUUUCCCUCGUGUCCCCCGUACCCUGCAAGGUGAAUCAUUAACAUUGCCAACCCAAUUUAGUCCAUCGUUUAAGCAGCUGAUAAAUUGUACUUUUGUGAUAAGAGAUAGAUGGCCACAAAUUAAUGUAAGACUAAUUAUCAAUUAGA